This 565-nucleotide ribosomal RNA is filed under the name uncultured bacterium. Its description in RNAcentral is "bacterial SSU rRNA". It matches the Rfam family "Bacterial small subunit ribosomal RNA", at positions 358 to 916 of the family's 1533-position model. The record is from RNAcentral.
GGAAUUUUGGACAAUGGACGAAAGUCUGAUCCAGCCAUUCCGCGUGCAGGACGAAGGCCUUCGGGUUGUAAACUGCUUUUGUACGGAACGAAAAAGCCUUGGCUAAUACCCGGGGUCCAUGACGGUACCGUAAGAAUAAGCACCGGCUAACUACGUGCCAGCAGCCGCGGUAAUACGUAGGGUGCGAGCGUUAAUCGGAAUUACUGGGCGUAAAGCGUGCGCAGGCGGUUUUGUAAGACAGAGGUGAAAUCCCCGGGCUCAACCUGGGAACUGCCUUUGUGACUGCAAGGCUAGAGUGCGGCAGAGGGGGAUGGAAUUCCGCGUGUAGCAGUGAAAUGCGUAGAUAUGCGGAGGAACACCGAUGGCGAAGGCAAUCCCCUGGGCCUGCACUGACGCUCAUGCACGAAAGCGUGGGGAGCAAACAGGAUUAGAUACCCUGGUAGUCCACGCCCUAAACGAUGUCAGCUGGUUGUUGGGUCUUUGCUGACUCAGUAACGAAGCUAACGCGUGAAGUUGACCGCCUGGGGAGUACGGCCGCAAGGUUGAAACUCAAAUGAAUUGACGG